This 497-nucleotide ribosomal RNA is filed under the name uncultured bacterium. RNAcentral's name for it is "partial 16S ribosomal RNA". It matches the Rfam family "Bacterial small subunit ribosomal RNA", at positions 28 to 507 of the family's 1533-position model. The record is from RNAcentral.
GAUGAACGCUGGCGGCGUGCCUAAUACAUGCAAGUCGAGCGAACAGACGAGAAUCUUGCUUCUCGGAUGUUUGCGGCGGACGUGUGAGUCACACGUGUAUAACCUACCUAUAUUACUGAUAUAACUUCGGGAAACCGGAUCUAAUACCGUAGAAUAUUUUGAACCGCAUUGUGCGAAAGUGAGAUACGGUCUUGCUGUCACGUAUAGAUGCAUCCCGGCUGCAUGAUCUAGUUGGUAAGUUAACGGCUUACCAAGGCAACGAUGCAUAGCCGACCUGAGAGGGUGAUCGGCCACACUGGAACUGAGACACGGUCCAGACUACUACGGGAGGCAGCAGUCGGGAAUCUUACGCAAUGGGCGAAAGCAUGACGGAGCAACGCCGAGUCAGUGAUGACGGUCUUCGGAUCGUAAAACUCUGUUAUUAGGGAAGAACCUAUGUGUACGUAAAUGUGCCCAUAUUGACGGUACCUAAUAAGAAAGCAACGGCUAACUACGUG